RNAcentral lists this ribosomal RNA (253 nucleotides) under uncultured bacterium. Its description in RNAcentral is "partial 16S ribosomal RNA". It matches the Rfam family "Bacterial small subunit ribosomal RNA", at positions 524 to 776 of the family's 1533-position model. The record is from RNAcentral.
UACAGAGGGUGCGAGCGUUAAUCGGAAUUACUGGGCGUAAAGCGUGCGCAGGCGGUUUGCUAAGACAGGUGUGAAAUCCCCGGGCUUAACCUGGGAACUGCGCUUGUAACUGGCAAGCUUGAGUGUGGCAGAGGGGGGUGGAAUUCCACGUGUAGCAGUGAAAUGCGUAGAGAUGUGGAGGAACACCGAUGGCGAAGGCAGCCCCCUGGGCUAACACUGACGCUCAUGCACGAAAGCGUGGGGAGCAAACAGG